UUUCGAGGAACAGUAAAGGCUUUUGGGUUCCAAGUUUUUGCAGAAGGUUGUUAUCAGAAUCCUUACCUUGCGGGGUGCUGGUGGCUACGCUUUCUCUUGCCCCAGUGCUGAAAGUCUUCAAAACUGAAAUGUAAGGUCAAUGAAUUAAAGCCACUUCCUACUGCUUAUUUCUUUGUGUUCCCUCUUUCACUUACAUUUUGGCCUCUGAGAAGUCUUUGCUUUCUUGCCAGGGCUUGGAUACAUUUCAGAAAUGUAAAAAUAUAUUCUAUCCAUUAUUUUUAGUUUGUUUCAGCAACAGAAUUGUUGAAAGAAUCUCUUCCCCCAAACUGCUAUAAACAGAAGUUGCUAAGUAUUUUCUAUGGAUUCAUUUAUUUGGACCUCCCAAACUUGUCAUAAGAGAUAAAGUAAUCUGCCUAAAGUCAGAUAGCUAACAGCCACGGAAGCCCUAGUCUGGCAGGAAAGAAGAGUCAUUAGGCAUCAUCUGGCAACUUGGCUUGGAGAAGUCAGAUCAGUCACCAAGAGUCUGGUGGGGCUGCAGCAAUGGCUAGAAAGAACCAGUGACAUGAUUGCCAGAUAGAGUGGUCAGAGAAGACCUUUCUGAGGCCAUGGUAUUUAAGAUGAGACUUGAAGAGCAACAAGAAGCUAGACACACAAAGCAGAUAAUUUUUUAAUGGCCAUUUCUGGAGAGAAGUUUCCAAGGGAUGAAGUUAUUAUACAGUUUCCAAAUAUUCCUGAAGAGGUCUAAAGAAAAUGUAUUCUGAUUCCACCUUUUACCUGUUUUCCUUUUUUUUUUUCUCUCUCUCUCUUUUUGGAAUUUGUUAUUUGGAUAUAGGAUACACUAGGCUGGUGCUCCAAUUUUCUUAUAUUUUCUGUUUUCCUUGAAGUUUUAGGGGACUUUCUGAACUUUAUUUUUCAAAAUUCAGUUGAGUCUUUAUUGUUUUCCAAAUAUCAACAUUUCUUACCCAGACUAAUGAACUAGCCUACUCACUCAUCUUUCUGAUCCUAUUCCUCUAUAUUAUCCACCCCAAUCCCAAGUUAAUUCUUGUAUGGUCUUUUUGAAAGACUGCAUGAGGUUUUUUGUUUUUAUUUCUGCUUAAAUUAUUUGCUGAUUUAUUUGCACUUAGGAUACAGGCCUAAAUCCUUAGCUUUGCUGACAUCAUGAAAGAUGUGGGCCCUCCCUAGCACUCCAGUUUCAUCUUACAUCAUGCCACUCUUUGGUACUUUAUCCUUACUGUCCAGCUUCAUUUCCUAGAGUGUCCUGUGACCCUCUUGACUCAGAGCCUCUGCACGUGCUGUUCCCUGUGUUUGUCUCCUUUGUCCAGCUCUACCAACUUCCUUUAUCUCUCAGUGUUCAGGUGUCAUCUCAUCUCCAGCAUGAAUUAGAUGUCUUAUCUUGUGCUUCUCAUUGGGCUAUACUGUAAUGCUUAGCACAUUAGUCAGUUCCCUCAUUGCUAUAAAGAAAUACCUGAGGCUGGGUAAUUUAUAAAGAAAGGAGGUUUAAUUGG
Molecule: long non-coding RNA, 1505 nt
Filed under: Homo sapiens (human)
Lineage: Eukaryota; Metazoa; Chordata; Mammalia; Primates; Hominidae
Description: HSALNT0348351
Source: RNAcentral